UACAAAAUAAUCGUAAUACUUUUCUAAAUUUCAAAUUUUCAGUUCUACCACAUUACUUUCCCUCCCCUGUAGUUAUGGAAACUGUGGAAUGGAGCCUGUCCAAGUUCCAGCAGCACCGUUCUGCUCUUGAAGUGAUUAAUGCUUAUACUUGUGCGUAUUGCUGGAUAGUCAAACCUUUUCCUGUAACCCGACAAACUUUUUGCACGGGACUGUACAUGCAAUAUAUAUGUUGUGUGUGUGUGUGUGUGUGUGGUUGUGUUCAGUUAUGUUUGAGGGAAAAAAAUUCAGUACAAACUAUAUACUUGAUGAUCAAUAUCAAAUUGUGAAGAUUUUGAUUCUGAAAGUUGAUAUGUAACUUAUUUUAAUUAUAGGGUGAAAUGAAAUCUACAGAAUCUGCUAAUAAACUUGCAAAAAGAGAAUCUUAU
RNAcentral lists this long non-coding RNA (425 nucleotides) under Androctonus crassicauda. Lineage: Eukaryota; Metazoa; Arthropoda; Arachnida; Scorpiones; Buthidae. The record is from RNAcentral.